CGGGAUCCUGGUCACAGGACGGGAAGCCUGUUUCUCUCUUUGCUGUCAUACUCGCUCUUAGUAAAACGAGGACUCGUGGCAGCAUUGUGAACAGUGGAGUUCUACGAUCUGACUUCUAGUUUUACAAAGACUCCCCUGGCCACUGUGCUGAGAGCAGACAUUGGAUUUUGACAGCAGAGCCUACAGGAUUUCCUGACAAUUUAAAUGUGGCUUGUGAAAGAAAGAGAGGAGUCAAGGAUCAAUACAAGUGUUUGGCCCAAGCCACUGAAGGAAGGAGGUGCCAUCAAUGAAGAUGGGGAAGAAUGAGGUGAAGCCUCUGAAGGAAGAUCAACAGGUCAGUUUCGGAAAUGAUGAGCUCCGGGUGCCUGUUACACAUUUGUAUUUUCUUAGUUACUCCUCCCUC
Herpailurus yagouaroundi (jaguarundi) is the source of this 403-nucleotide long non-coding RNA. RefSeq lists it as uncharacterized. Lineage: Eukaryota; Metazoa; Chordata; Mammalia; Carnivora; Felidae. The record is from RefSeq and is a predicted model, not a curated record. The transcript is spliced from 3 exons.